This 402-nucleotide ribosomal RNA is filed under the name uncultured bacterium. Its description in RNAcentral is "partial 16S ribosomal RNA". It matches the Rfam family "Bacterial small subunit ribosomal RNA", at positions 30 to 526 of the family's 1533-position model. The record is from RNAcentral.
AUUGAACGCUAGCGGGAUGCUUACACAUGCAAGUCGAACGAGUGGCGGACGGGUGAGUAAUAUCUCGGAACGUGCCCAGUAGCGGGGGAUAACUACUCGACAGAGUGCUAUACCGCAUACUAUUGGAGCGGCCGAUAUCGGAGUAGCUAGGUGGUGGGGUAAAGGCUCACCAAGGCCACGAUCCGUAGCUGGGUUGAGAGGACGACCAGCCACCCUGGGACUGAGACACGGCCCAGACGCCUACGUGAGGCAGCAGUGGGGAAUUUUGGACAAUGGGGGCAACCCUGAUCCAGCCAGCCCGCGUGUGUGAAGAAGGCUGCGGGUUGUAAAGCACUUUCAGCGAGGAGGCGUUACUCGCAGAAGAAGCACCGGCUAACUCCGUGCCAGCCGCCGCGGUAAUUC